Molecule: long non-coding RNA, 2809 nt
Organism: Triticum dicoccoides
Lineage: Eukaryota; Viridiplantae; Streptophyta; Magnoliopsida; Poales; Poaceae
Exons: 8
Source: RefSeq, a predicted model, not a curated record
CUAUGUAGCACCGUGGUCCAGCUGAUGGUGUCGCGGUUCUGCUCGGGCGCCAUCGCCUGAAGGUCGCUGUUGCCGGUGACGAGGACAGAUGGGAGGACGCUGCCGCAACGGAUCUGCUCCCCAUUCCCCUCCACCGUCGGUGACCAUGUGCGGGUAUCUCCCGGGAUCCAGGUGUGGUCUCGCCGCCAUGGAUGCCAGAGGAGGAAGAGGCGCUCUUCCAUGUCGGCUACAGGAGAAAGAGGAGGAGGAGGCGCUUCUCCGGCCAGACCCGGGGUCGGGGCCGGCACGCCACAGGCAUCUACGCCUACGACCACGACCACACGCACGGGCUGACGCCGCUGAUGAAGAUGCGUACCCUUAGCCACGAAUUUGUCCCCGAUCCCAUCCAUGCAGGUGGGCUUCGCUGCCAUGGAAUGACACCUCUGAUCUCCCAUGUAGAUGAGCUUGGGUUCAUGGAAGCCAUGUCCAUAAAGCAAACUGAGUGCUUCGAAGUUUUGUAGAAAAGGAAUCGGAAGCUCGGAGAGACCUCGCGUCAAUCAACAGGUUUGACUCCUUUUAGUCUUUGGUUAUUUUCAAAGUGAAAACCCAUGAAAUGUCGGGAUCAAAAUCCCAGGUCAGAUGGAACUAUGGGCAUUCAUGAUUACUGUACAAGUAACCGAUUUCGUGGAGCAUGCUUCUUACUUUCUUGUCUGAAUGCUUAAUAGUAUAUUACCCUUGCAAUGUAAUGGAACCAUAGACUUUAUACCAUUGAGUGUAUGAAACACUGCAUAUAUUUUUCUAUUUUUUACUCAACAACAACCAAUCAGUGUCAAUGAAGGGUCUCUUACAUUUAUUAGCAGUUCCGACCAUUUCCGGAGUACAUACAAACCAGAAAAGUGGAAGCAAAACAAAAUUUGGAUCACAUUUUAGAUCUGUUGUUGAAAACAAAGUUUCUAUCAGGAUUUAGAUAUGUUAUUUCCUUGUUCUAAUCAGCAUAAACUGAAUUCUCUUAUCUGAUUGCAAAUUAUCAUCAAACUGUGGUGUUUCAUCGAGGAUGAUCUUUAUCAACAAUGAGGUAAUUGUGCCUGGAAAUUGCUUUCAAAAUUUGAAUGCUUUGGAGCUAACUCAUGUUAUAAUUUUGCAACGAUGAAUUAGAUCUUCAUAGACAAUUACAUCUUUAGGAGGAUUUGCAAAAUAUGAGAUUUCAAAUGGCUUGAAUAGGAAGAGAUGCAGAUCAUUAUUCUGGACAGUUUUAAUCAAGGACAAUUGAAGCCUAUUGAUUUUGAAUCGUUGACACAUGGUUUGCUUGAGACAAGCGAAGCUGCCAAGGUGAUUUGUACACCUAAACUGCUUCAAGUAUUUGCCUGAUUUGCAUGGCAAGAAUAGUAGGAUUAUACAGGUUAAUGUCAAGGGCUUGAAACGUGUGAGGGAAGUAAACAUGGAUCUGAUGGUGAUGGGAAUCUUUCUUAUAAAGAAAGAUACAUAGGGUGUAUUAUCUGGUGCAUAUUAGAUAAUCAAAGUUGAUGCAUAUGUUACAGAUCUUCCCCGCGAGGCGCUACAGAUCACAUGGGCACUGUCAUGAAGGCCGCGAAGGCGUGGCCGGCGGCAUGGGUUAGCCUGUGGGUGGUACCACCAUGCUGCUCUCGACGUGCAUUGUGGUGCUGCUCGUGGCGGCUUUCGGAGGGAGACAAAGUGCAGAACAUAGAGAAUUUGGGAGCUCCUCGGGUUUGGAUCAGCAAGCCAUGUCCGUUUGGUUUGGCAAAGGAAGGCCUUUUAUCCUUUUUCUAGAAUGCCAUGAACAUCUCUGAAUUUUCACACUGGUUCCGACCGAUGGUUAAUAUUUUUUUGAACAUAUUUGUGACUGGAGCCCACACAUACAUAGUCAUGGAUCUGAUUUUGUGUUUUGGACCUUGCUAUUUCACUGAUUUGGAACAUGUAUAUGCAGUUCUAGGCUUCUAGCUAGAUGGAUUAAUAGAUAUGUUGGACCUAUGCAUUUUAUAUUACCCGCAUGGAUCUAUGUUUAUUAUUUGAUGCUCCUCCUUAUCCUGGAGAAGAAUUUUUGCAAACAGUUGUCAUAUUUGGAGAUAUGGAUUUGUUGUCACUUCAGCAUUAUGCUUUCAGUGCUACAGAGUAUGCGGUGAAAUUAGAUUAGAUUGAUGAUUAGCAAUUAACUAUAGAACUGUUGGCAGCACCAGUUUAACAUAUGUUAAUUUCUGGCCCAUCUUUAUUUGCUUUCGAGUUAAACUAUGAAUUUGAAAACAAAAAAAUUUAUACAUUUGUUGAUGCUAAAUUUAUCAGUCCUUCUGUUUCGAUAAUCACCUCCUACAUAUGUGUUGCUGGGUAGUUUUCUUACUGCUACAGCUAGGUUGUUCUAGCAGGAUAAUGUAUUUUCUUAUGGAAAACACGGAUGAGUAAUUACGUGAUAUACUAUUAAUAUUAAACUAUGUUGUUUCUCUGAAACUAACUUUGUAUUUCAGCUUUGGAAACUGGUGUUCUAACGUUAGUUCCGACAAGAGGGCCACUAUAACCACCAUCUGGUCAGAGUUUCGUCGCUGCGCCAACAUUCGUGAAGGAGACGUCUGUACAUUUCAUUUCAGGAUCACUUCAAAGCGCUGCCUGGUUUUCACCGUGCACCGCCUCUAGAUGCACCAUCAAAGACACUGCAUCCCCUGUGUCAAUAUAAUCUAUCACUAAAUACUCUUAAUUAUGCUCUAUCCUGUGAUAACUUAUGGUUUGCUUUUGGCCCUCUUAUCACAUGCUUUUCAAGAUGCUAAACAUAUGUUGUUGCUUAUGUAAAGUGCACUAUUCUCAGUCAGAUGUUUCAUGUUCA